AUUUCUUUCUGAUCACUGGGACACUUCUAAGUUGUCACAUACAGAGGCAGGGAAGCAAAUUGUUGAAAUAAUUCUUUCCACACCUUUCUGGAAUGGUGUGCAAGAUUGCUUGAGAGCAUCAUUGCCUCUUAUUCAAGUAUUGAGGACAGUAGAUGGAGAUAAGAGGCCUGCAUUGCCUGAAGUAUAUAUUGCAAUAGAAGAGGCAAAGAACAUAAAAUCAAAUUUUAAGGGCAUAGAAAGAAAAUGGAAGAAGAUCAUAAAAAUUAUUGAUAGGCGUUGGACAAGUCAGAUGGAGCGACCAAUAUAUUUGGCUGCAUUUCUCCUCAAUCCAAGCAAGUACUUUAAGCAAAUGGAGUUUGAUG
Long non-coding RNA from Telopea speciosissima, 362 nucleotides. RefSeq lists it as uncharacterized. The transcript has 3 exons. Lineage: Eukaryota; Viridiplantae; Streptophyta; Magnoliopsida; Proteales; Proteaceae. The record is from RefSeq and is a predicted model, not a curated record.